GACGUAGGGCGCGAGCGUUGUCCGGAUUUAUUGGGCGUAAAGAGCUCGUAGGCGGCUCGUUGCGUCAACCGUGAAAACCCGGGGCUUAACUUCGGGCUUGCGGUUGAUACGGGCGGGCUGGAGUUCGGUAGGGGAGACUGGAAUUCCUGGUGUAGCGGUGAAAUGCGCAGAUAUCAGGAGGAACACCGGUGGCGAAGGCGGGUCUCUGGACCGAUACUGACGCUGAGGAGCGAAAGCGUGGGGAGCGAACAGG
RNAcentral lists this ribosomal RNA (253 nucleotides) under uncultured bacterium. RNAcentral's name for it is "partial 16S ribosomal RNA". It matches the Rfam family "Bacterial small subunit ribosomal RNA", at positions 524 to 776 of the family's 1533-position model. The record is from RNAcentral.